GCGUGUACCUGUACCCCCAGCAGGUAUUGAAUGAUGUGCGUGUACCUGUACCCCCAGCAGGUAUUGAAUGAUGUGUGUGUACCUGUACCCCCAGCAGGUAUUGAAUGAUGUGUGUGUACCUGUACCCCCAGCAGGUAUUGAAUGAUGUGUGUGUACCUGUACCCCCAGCAGGUAUUGAAUGAUAUGCGUGUACCUGUACCCCCAGCAGGUAUUGAAUGAUGUGUGUGUACCUGUAUCCCCAGCAGGUAUUGAAUGAUGUGUGUGUACCUGUACCCCCAGCAGGUAUUGAAUGAUGUGUGUGUACCUGUAUCCCCAGCAGGUAUUGAAUGAUGUGUGUGUACCUGUAUCCCCAGCAGGUAUUGAAUGAUGUGUGUGUACCUGUACCCCCAGCAGGUAUUGAAUGAUGUGUGUGUACCUGUACCCCCAGCAGGUAUUGAAUGAUGUGUGUGUACCUGUACCCCCAGCAGGUAUUGAAUGAUGUGUGUGUACCUGUACCCCCAGCAGGUAUUGAAUGAUGUGUGUGUACCUGUACCCCCAGCAGGUAUUGAAUGAUGUGUGUGUACCUGUACCCCCAGCAGGUAUUGAAUGAUGUGUGUGUACCUGUACCCCCAGCAGGUAUUGAAUGAUGUGUGUGUACCUGUACCCCCAGCAGGUAUUGAAUGAUGUGUGUGUACCUGUACCCCCAGCAGGUAUUGAAUGAUGUGUGUGUACCUGUACCCCCAGCAGGUAUUGAAUGAUGUGUGUGUACCUGUACCCCCAGCAGGUAUUGAAUGAUGUGUGUGUA
This is a long non-coding RNA of Oncorhynchus keta (chum salmon), 784 nucleotides long. RefSeq lists it as uncharacterized. Lineage: Eukaryota; Metazoa; Chordata; Actinopteri; Salmoniformes; Salmonidae. The record is from RefSeq and is a predicted model, not a curated record. The transcript is spliced from 6 exons.